This 1095-nucleotide unclassified non-coding RNA is filed under the name Hevea brasiliensis (rubber tree). The record is from RNAcentral. Lineage: Eukaryota; Viridiplantae; Streptophyta; Magnoliopsida; Malpighiales; Euphorbiaceae.
CACCAUCACGACCUCUUCCACCGAAUCUACCCCGGCCACCACUAUCACGUCCACCAAAUCUGCCACGGCCUCCACUGCGUCCGCCGCCACCACCACCACUGUCACCUUUCGGUUUGGCUGCAUCCACAUGUAGUGUAUAGCCACCUAGUUCUGAAUCAUUGAGCUCCAUUGCCUUCGAGAAAGAAUCCUGAUCUUUGAAAUCAACAUAUGCAAUCCCCUUCGACGCGCCAGUUUCAUAAUCUUUGGGUAUGGAAACUCGGGUGAUCUCUCCACAAGAACCAAAAUGCUCUUGAAGAGAGCUACGAAUCUGAUCCUCAUCAUGCGAUGUGUCAAAACCUUUAACAAAUAUAGUUUGGCUAGGACCACCAGCACCACCCUUCUGAAAAGAAUUAUUUUCUGACCGUGGUGUAUAUGCGCCUCUUUCAUGAGCAGUAUCUAAUCUAACAGCACGGCCAAGUAAAUCCUGACCAUUCAAUUCAAGGCCCUUUUGAGCCUCUUCAGGUGUAGUAAACUCAACAUACCCAUAUCCUUUCUUGCGACCGUCACUGUCUUUAACCAAACGAACAUCAGUAACUUCACCUGCCUCCUUAAAAAACUCAGCCAAUGUAUCUUCUUCAGCAUCAAAGGACAAAUUCCCAACAAAUAAAGUCUUUGAACCCUGGGACUGGCCUUGGACAACUGGAGUUUUAGGCGCUUUCUUUUCAGAAGCCACCUUAGGAGCAUCUUUCAUUUUGACAUCUUUAUCCUCAUCCUCCUCAUCUUCUGAAUCAUCUUCAUCUUCAGAAUCUACUUCGCUGCUGUCAUCUUUUUUCACAACUUUGGCACUGGGUUUGACUAUCGGACUAGUAGACUUUGGCUUCUGUGGUUCUUCAUCACUUUCAUCAGAGCUGUCAUCAUCAGAGUCCUCGUCCAUAUUGGAUGGUAUGUUUUUCUGGUUAAUUUCUUUCUUUGCUGGAAGAGAUUGUUUCUUAACAGGGGCAUUAACCUUUGUUGGAGGUACCUCUUCAUCAUCAGAAUCACUUUCUUCAGAGUCGCUCUCAGAGGAUUUUUCAGAUGGUUCCUGAGCCUUAGGGGUAACGAUGGCUCCAUUUUUUG